GAAUUCGCCCUUAGAGUUUGAUCCUGGCUCAGGACGAACGCUGGCGGCGUGCUUAACACAUGCAAGUCGAACGAGCGAGAGAGAGCUUGCUUUCUCGAGCGAGUGGCGAACGGGUGAGUAACGCGUGAGGAACCUGCCUCAAAGAGGGGGACAACAGUUGGAAACGACUGCUAAUACCGCAUAAGCCCACGGCUCGGCAUCGAGCAGAGGGAAAAGGAGCAAUCCGCUUUGAGAUGGCCUCGCGUCCGACUAGCUAGUUGGUGAGGUAAUGGCCCACCAAGGCAACGAUCGGUAGCCGGACUGAGAGGUUGAACGGCCACAUUGGGACUGAGACACGGCCCAGACUCCUACGGGAGGCAGCAGUGGGGAAUAUUGCACAAUGGGGGAAACCCUGAUGCAGCGACGCCGCGUGGAGGAAGAAGGUCUUCGGAUUGUAAACUCCUGUUGUUGAGGAAGAUAAUGACGGUACUCAACAAGGAAGUGACGGCUAACUACGUGCCAGCAGCCGCGGUAAAACGUAGGUCACAAGCGUUGUCCGGAAUUACUGGGUGUAAAGGGAGCGCAGGCGGGAAGACAAGUUGGAAGUGAAAUCUAUGGGCUCAACCCAUAAACUGCUUUCAAAACUGUUUUUCUUGAGUAGUGCAGAGGUAGGCGGAAUUCCCGGUGUAGCGGUGGAAUGCGUAGAUAUCGGGAGGAACACCAGUGGCGAAGGCGGCCUACUGGGCACCAACUGACGCUCAGUCCCGAAAGCGUGGGGAGCAAAUAGGAUUAGAUACCCUAGUAGUCCACGCCGUAAACGAUGAGUACUAAGUGUUGG
Molecule: ribosomal RNA, 817 nt
Filed under: uncultured bacterium
Lineage: Bacteria
Description: bacterial SSU rRNA
Rfam family: Bacterial small subunit ribosomal RNA
Source: RNAcentral